UACGUAGGCAGCAAACGUUGUUCGGAAUUACUGGGCGUAAAGGGCGCGUAGGCGGCCGCCUAAGUCAGACGUGAAAUCCCUCGGCUCAACCGGGGAACUGCGUCUGAUACUGGGUGGCUUGAAUCCGGGAGAGGGAUGCGGAAUUCCAGGUGUAGCGGUGAAAUGCGUAGAUAUCUGGAGGAACACCGGUGGCGAAGGCGGCAUCCUGGACCGGCAUUGACGCUGAGGCGCGAAAGCCAGGGGAGCAAACGGG
RNAcentral lists this ribosomal RNA (253 nucleotides) under uncultured bacterium. RNAcentral describes it as "partial 16S ribosomal RNA". It matches the Rfam family "Bacterial small subunit ribosomal RNA", at positions 524 to 776 of the family's 1533-position model. The record is from RNAcentral.